This 515-nucleotide ribosomal RNA is filed under the name uncultured bacterium. Its description in RNAcentral is "partial 16S ribosomal RNA". It matches the Rfam family "Bacterial small subunit ribosomal RNA", at positions 28 to 523 of the family's 1533-position model. The record is from RNAcentral.
GACGAACGCUGGCGGCAUGCCUAAUACAUGCAAGUCGAGCGGAGUUGACGAGAAGCUUGCUUCUCUGAUACUUAGCGGCGGACGGGUGAGUAACACGUAGGCAACCUGCCUUUCAGUUUGGGAUAACUUCCGGAAACGGAUGCUAAUACCGAAUACAUCAUCUUCUGGCAUCAGAGAAUGAGGAAAGACGGCGCAAGCUGUCACUGAGAGAUGGGCCUGCGGCGCAUUAGCUAGUUGGUGGGGUAAUGGCUCACCAAGGCGACGAUGCGUAGCCGACCUGAGAGGGUGAACGGCCACACUGGGACUGAGACACGGCCCAGACUCCUACGGGAGGCAGCAGUAGGGAAUCUUCCACAAUGGGCGAAAGCCUGAUGGAGCAAUGCCGCGUGAGUGAUGAAGGUUUCGGAUCGUAAAGCUCUGUUGCCAGGGAAGAACGUCCGGGUGAGUAACUGCACCCGGAGUGACGGUACCUGAGAAGAAAGCCCCGGCUAACUACGUGCCAGCAGCCGCAGUAA